RNAcentral lists this long non-coding RNA (1951 nucleotides) under Homo sapiens (human). RNAcentral describes it as "HSALNT0027673". The record is from RNAcentral. Lineage: Eukaryota; Metazoa; Chordata; Mammalia; Primates; Hominidae.
UUAUUUCUGUAUUUCCAAGAUAUUAGUAUUCAAAUAUCGUUCUACCAGUACAUUCUCAGAUUCUCUUUGAAAUUGAAGUUGAAUAGAAUGCCAGAUUUAUCUCAGGUGCAAAAAUAUGGUUGUCAAAUAAACAAACAAAAAGAACUAACACAAAACAGAGAAUUAAGAAAAUAUCUCAGUAGCCCAAAUAGCAUUCCAGUUAUAGACAUCCAUACAUGAGAAAGCAUAAAAUGAAAUGGAGUUAUUAGAUAUUCAAUCUGGAAAGAACUUUAUUAUUUCUCAUAAAAGCUUAGGGGCAACAUUAAGUACAUUUUCAAAAAAAUCUUGAGAGCACAGACUCAUAAUUUUGAAGCUCAAAUAAGACUUCAGAGGUAUAUAAAGAGCACUGGACUAAGAGUCAAGAUACCUUGGCUCAAGGUACAACUUUGCUAUUUAUUAGCUGGUCCUUGACAUGACCAGGUUAGCAAGGUAGAAAGAUUACAAAGGUUGGCAUGAAGAAGGUAGGCUUGUAUGAGUGAUGGUGGAUGAUAACAAAUCUGGGGAAAUGAAAUGAACUACAGACAGGACACAUGCGAUGUGCUUCAGAGUAUGCAGCUUUUCCAAUCAAGGAAAGCUUCGUGCAGGAGGCCAAACAGAACCUGAACGCUGCAGUAUGACCUCAGGGACUCACAUCACUUUCUGAAAUAUCUAACAAAAAUCGCAUUUCUGCUGUUGCACUCUGAAUUCCUAGAACUUGUGCGUGAACCAUUUCACUGCAUUCAUUUUCCCCAUGUUAUUCUUUAACCAGCCUUCUUUCUUGAUCACAUUCCUAGAUCUGAGAUGUUUUCCUUUCAGUCUUUUCGGCAUAAGACCUAAUUACAUAGCUAGUUGUCCAGUAAUGUCUGGGAAGAGAAAAACCUUAAGUUUGUCAUCUCUCAGUAGGACACCCCGGCUAAAGCCUUCUGGACACAGCAAGGAUAUUGUCUUCUCUCUCUUAUAAUCCUGUUGUAUCUUCCACACAUAGCAUAAUCAGCUAUAAAGUUUUCCAAUUCUUCAAAAUAAUUACUACCACAUUUCUCAGAGAUUUUCCAAGAUUUCCUCAAAAUUGGGAAAGUAUUGAUUCAGCUCAGUAUUGAUUCAGUCUAGUAUUGAUUCAGCUUCACUUAUCACUUUCAGUGGAUGGGUGGUCUUCACAUGUACUGGACAGGUCCUCACUUAAAUAAGAUUUAGCAGCUACAAAUCCAGUUACUGCAUCAAUCCACGUACGAUUUAUCUGUAGGUGAGCUCACAGUCCAAAUGUGGACUGCCAGAAGUUGGGCAAAAUGGAACUUGGUUCAUUCUGCAGAGUGGACCACUGGGAAUUGUACUGAGAAUUACCAGAGCUGCAUAUCCUCUAUUCACUCCUCCAGCUACAGUCUCUGCUUUCCAUUGUGGCCCAGGAGACAAACUUACAUUCUACAUUAUCAGCUUCUUUGAUCUCUUGGCUUAGAGUAGCUUCAGCCAAUCAGAGAACCUAGAGGGACACUGAACAAGGGAAAAGAGAAGUCUGAGGGUUUAUCCACACAACCCCUGUCCGCCUCAGGCCCAUGGCUUGAAAGUAGCUACAUCUCUGCCAACACUCAGAUUCUGUGGGGCACCCUUCUCUCAGGGCUCCAGCACUCCAGGGUUCUGUAAUUUUGCUUCCUCCUCUCUCCCUUCCAGGCCUACAGGCAGUAGCUGCUCCCCGCUAUUGCCAGGCUCUGGAGCUAGGGUGUAGCUGUGCCUCAUCGGUUCCCUUCACUCUGCUCAUACCUCCAUUAACAAGCCAUUCAUAAACACCCUUUCUCAUACCUUUGAACUCUAUCUAUAGAUCCUGCUCGUGGAAUGCUUGGUAUGUUACACUUGCUAUCCUCAAUUUCUUUUUCAAGCUGGGCCAUCAUGUCUCUCUCACUGGACUGAAAGAGGGAGAAAACAGGAAACUGGGCACUCCUGG